This 253-nucleotide ribosomal RNA is filed under the name uncultured bacterium. RNAcentral describes it as "partial 16S ribosomal RNA". It matches the Rfam family "Bacterial small subunit ribosomal RNA", at positions 524 to 776 of the family's 1533-position model. The record is from RNAcentral.
UACGUAGGGUGCAAGCGUUAAUCGGAAUUACUGGGCGUAAAGCGUGCGCAGGCGGUUCGUUGUGUCGGCGGUGAAAGCCCCGGGCUUAACCUGGGAAUGGCCGGUGAAACUGGCGAACUGGAGUGUGGCAGAGGGGGGUGGAAUUCCGCGUGUAGCAGUGAAAUGCGUAGAGAUGCGGAGGAACACCGAUGGCGAAGGCAGCCCCCUGGGCUAACACUGACGCUCAGGCACGAAAGCGUGGGGAGCAAACAGG